GUUUUGCGACAUCGUGUUAAUUAUGUGCUUCAGUAUAGCAACCUGUCCAUUUUUACUCCACUAAGCCUAUAUGUCUAUAACUAACUGACUGACACAUGUCCCGCUGCUGUUGCAGUCAACCACCUUGGACAUGGUGAAGCAGUGGGCCACAGAUGUGGGCGGUGGAGAUUGCAACAGCCAUGAUGACAGCAAAGGCCGCCUCAAAGCGCAGCAGUUCUGCGCCUGAUGUCGUCUUGACCUAAGCGGAUCUCCCCUUCAUGGAAACAAAGGCGAAGGGGAAGGGGGGCAAGAAACGACGGUGGUAAUGGAUGCACGUUUAUUUUGGGACGAAUGCACAUGUAAUGUGAUGAACAGCUGCAUUGUCUUCUUUUGUGGAGGUGCCUUUUCUUAGGGCUGAAAGCACGUUCGUAUCACAUGAUCAUGAUCAGCCGUGUCUUGAGACGGCUUGGCUUAUAAGCAAAUCCAUCUCAAGACACGGCUGAUCACGUGAUAAGNNNNNNNNNNNNNNNNNNNNNNNNNNNNNNNNNNNNNNNNNNNNNNNNNNAGAGUGAGAGACACUGAGGCACUAUAUUUCGCCCACUCAGGAUGAUUGGGACGAACACCUGCCACUCAUUGAGUUCGCUAUUAAUAACUCGAGGCAGAGCUCAACGGGUGCCACCCCGUUUAGCCUUAAUGGUAUCAAGCAGCCACAUGUGCUGGUUGACUUGCACCUGAAAACCAAAGUGCCUGCCGCUGACCUCUAUCCCAAGGUCAUGCACAAACGUAUUGGACCGCAAAACUUAAGGCUGUGCAAUCCCGCCAGUGCAAUGUUGUCGACAAGCACCGGCAUGUGGUGCGUUUUGAGGUUGGGGAAUCCGUGCUGCUCAGCACCCGCAACAUCCAGUUGAAAUCUCCUGGAGCAAAGAAAUUAUUGCCUAAGUUUAUUGGGCCAUAUAAGGUUGUCGCUCGAGUGGGAGAGAAUGCGGUAAUAUUGUGAUUACCCGCGACUUCCCGACUCCAUCCAGUCUUCCACGUAUCCUUGCUCAAACCAUUCAAGGACGAUGGAACACGACAACCGCCGCCCCCGUUCAUAAUUGAUGAAGAGCCAUAUUACAUGGUCGAGGCACUACUUGACCACCGUGAUGUGAAAAUCCGAGGUGGAACCGGCAAAACACGUCGAGAAUAUCUGGUUAAAUGGGAAGGCUAUGACUCCAGUCAUAACACCUAUGAGCCGGAAGAUUCCCUGCAUCAGUCCGUUCCCCUGGCCAAAGCUAUUGACGACUAUGAACGACGGUUGGCAGCAAAGUCGGGGCAACCUACACCAAAAAGAAAAGUGGUCCUGACCACCUCUCCUUUGGUAGCACCCCGGAACACUACCCCAGAACAACCGAAACGGAAAGCACCUGCUCUCAAGAAAAGGUGACACUCCUGGAACGGUUCACUUCUGAGGGGGAGGGAUGUAGCAAGCUACAUUUACCUUAGAAAGCUAUUAAUGCUUAAUCACAGUAACGGUACGGUCCCGUAGUUAUGAACCAUACUCGUUAACUGUAUGAACUCACUUUCUGUUGCGCUAUCACAACCUAGUGUACGACACCAAGACUCCAGGAAUGGAGAUGGCAGCAGGUGGGCCGCAUUUAACCACCCAGGUGAAGUGCUUCGGCCAGACACUUCUGUAUCACUAUACUAGUGUUCAGGGUUCAAGACCUUGCUGACUUCCUGUGUCUUUUCUCAUGUCUAACGCUGAGCCGUCAAUCGUGGUCGAGACCCUCCUCUUCCACGGCCUUACAUCUCAAGUCUUCCGCUAAAAUGCCUAAGGUAAGAGAUGGCUGUUACAGGCAAUCCUACAGGUCGGGACCACCCUGGGCGCUUCAUGCUGGGGCCCCGCCCAAAAAGGGGGUGCUGAAAAACUGGCUGUAAAGGAGGUCCAGAUCCAUAUCAUGUGCCUGUUGGAGGAGCAUAAGGAGACCCAGUUCCAGACAGUUGUCACCAGGAUGGCAAAGGAGCUCAAGGAUGCACAGACCGUCAUUCGGAGCCAAGAAGCCAGCAUCAGCAUGCUCACGUGGGUUCUCUCUUGGCACAUGCAUGUUGCUGCAGCCAGAUGGGCGGUGUUACCCACACCAUGUGCAGGGUUCUUUAGAUUCCACCCAUGCACCACUGCUGGUUUGUGAUCCCAUGUAAGGAGCACUCAUUGGGUGGCGACACUGAUGCGGUUCACGAGGCGAUUCAGAGCUUCUACGAGGUGCAGAACGCCAAGGCCAGGGCACAGGGAAUGGAUGAUGCCUAUUUGGGCCCUGGAGCUCUCAUCCACAGCAUUCCCAGGCAGCUAUUGGAAUGAUGACCAGGAUAUUCAUCUUGCAGAUACCUUAGUCGAGCGAUGAGCUCGUCCUUUGACUUUAGCUCCUCUUCCUUUGGCUUGAGCGUUUGCAUCAUUAUGAUUUCGUGCGCCACCAACGCAUUGGGACCUCCGGCGAUGAUCCUUUUACGCAAUUCAUCCUCGUUAAGUUGUUUAUCCGUUGCGGGGCAAUGUAUUCUUUAAAAUAAUUUAAUCUUUUUAUACUAAUAAAAAAACAAUGCAUGUGAU
This 2560-nucleotide long non-coding RNA is filed under the name Volvox carteri. RNAcentral's name for it is "long non-coding RNA (VCAR_LNC003135)". The record is from RNAcentral. Lineage: Eukaryota; Viridiplantae; Chlorophyta; Chlorophyceae; Chlamydomonadales; Volvocaceae.